AUGGACACAUGGACGCCGGAGCUCCCUGUUCAGCUCAGCCACGUAGCUACCCUCUCCCGCGCAUCCUCCUCCGCCGCCGAAGUGCCUCCUCCUCCGCUCCCUCCUGCCUCGUGCAGCUCCCCUGCCCCCACUCGCGUGCCUCCCGCAACUCCGCCUUUCCACCCCCAAAAUCCAUUCUUCUUCCUCGGUGGGAUUCUACUGUGUACUCCCACCGGCAAUUCCCUCCUCUCCGUGGGCUUCUAUGGGGAGUCUGCUCCGCUCCGUGCCCCCGGCGCCAUGGGGGACGCUGCUCCACUCCUUUUCCAGCCUGAAGGUGUCAUUUUUGACUGUAAACUGGAUAUUUUGGUUAUCUCUGAAUGUUUAAUUACUGACAUUGAUAGAGUUCUGGUAAUCAGAGAUUUACUGAGAAGUUGA
Molecule: ribosomal RNA, 414 nt
Filed under: Triticum aestivum (bread wheat)
Lineage: Eukaryota; Viridiplantae; Streptophyta; Magnoliopsida; Poales; Poaceae
Description: partial small subunit ribosomal RNA
Source: RNAcentral